Molecule: transfer RNA, 74 nt
Filed under: Cordylochernes scorpioides
Lineage: Eukaryota; Metazoa; Arthropoda; Arachnida; Pseudoscorpiones; Chernetidae
Description: tRNA-Thr
Source: RNAcentral
UGUCCAGGGAUGGGAAUCGAACCCACAGUGUUCCGCUUACCGGGCAGAUGCCAUGUCCACUAGGCUACCCCUUC